UACGGGGGGGGCAAGCGUUGUUCGGAAUUACUGGGCGUAAAGGGCUCGUAGGCGGCCAACUAAGUCGGACGUGAAAUCCCCAGGCUCAACCUGGGAACUGCGUCCGAUACUGGAUGGCUUGAAUUCGGGAGAGGGAUGCAGAAUUCCAGGUGUAGCGGUGAAAUGCGUAGAUAUCGGGAGGAACACCAGUGGCGAAGGCGACUACCGGGCCCAUUCUUGACGCUGAGGCGCGAAAGCUAGGGGAGCGAACGGG
This 253-nucleotide ribosomal RNA is filed under the name uncultured bacterium. RNAcentral describes it as "partial 16S ribosomal RNA". It matches the Rfam family "Bacterial small subunit ribosomal RNA", at positions 524 to 776 of the family's 1533-position model. The record is from RNAcentral.